GUGGGAGGUCAAGGGUUCGAGUAGUGGGGGAGGCGACCUAAUUUCCAAAGGGAAAUUUGGGCCAAAUCCACUUGGGGAAGGAUGCAUUCGAUGCAAGAACCCAAGGGGACAAAUCCUGCCAGGAACCCGUGAGGGUGAAUGGAUGUUAAGAGCUGUUCACGACGCCAGUGGAAAGCCCGAGGUGGCGAGAGGGCCAGGCGAGGGAUAGCCCUGGGCCGUGAACGGUAACAGUGCCGGGGAUCACGUCCGGGC
Molecule: long non-coding RNA, 252 nt
Filed under: Manihot esculenta (cassava)
Lineage: Eukaryota; Viridiplantae; Streptophyta; Magnoliopsida; Malpighiales; Euphorbiaceae
Description: long non-coding RNA (MESC_LNC005890)
Source: RNAcentral